CCUACGGGGGGCUGCAGUGGGGAAUUUUGGGCAAUGGGCGAAAGCCUGACCCAGCAACGCCGCGUGAAGGAUGAAGUAUUUCGGUAUGUAAACUUCGAAAGAAUAGGAAGAAUUAAUGACGGUACUAUUUAUAAGGUCCGGCUAACUACGUGCCAGCAGCCGCGGUAAUACGUAGGGACCAAGCGUUGUUCGGAUUUACUGGGCGUAAAGGGCGCGUAGGCGGUGCGGUAAGUCACUUGUGAAAUCUCUGAGCUUAACUCAGAACGGCCAAGUGAUACUGCAGUACUAGAGUGCAGAAGGGGCAAUCAGAAUUCUUGGUGUAGCGGUGAAAUGCGUAGAUAUCAAGAGGAAUACCUGAGGUGAAGACGGGUUGCUAGGCUGACACUGACGCUGAGGCGCGAAAGCUAGGGGAGCAAACGGGAUUAGAUACCCCAGUAGUC
This 440-nucleotide ribosomal RNA is filed under the name uncultured Acidobacteriota bacterium. RNAcentral describes it as "bacterial SSU rRNA". It matches the Rfam family "Bacterial small subunit ribosomal RNA", at positions 338 to 795 of the family's 1533-position model. The record is from RNAcentral. Lineage: Bacteria; Pseudomonadati; Acidobacteriota.